This 301-nucleotide ribosomal RNA is filed under the name uncultured bacterium. Its description in RNAcentral is "partial 16S ribosomal RNA". It matches the Rfam family "Bacterial small subunit ribosomal RNA", at positions 509 to 807 of the family's 1533-position model. The record is from RNAcentral.
CAGUCGCCGCGGGAAUACGUACGUGGCAAGCGUUGUCCGGAAUUAUUGGGCGUAAAGCGCGCGCAGGUGGUUUAAUAAGUCUGAUGUGAAAGCCCACGGCUCAACCGUGGAGGGUCAUUGGAAACUGUUAAACUUGAGUGCAGGAGAGAAAAGUGGAAUUCCCAGUGUAGCGGUGAAAUGCGUAGAGAUUAGGAGGAACACCAGUGGCGAAGGCGGCUUUUUGGCCUGUAACUGACACUGAGGCGCGAAAGCGUGGGGAGCAACCAGGAUUAGAUACCCGCGUAGUCCCUGUCUCUUAUAC